GCGGGAGGCUUAACACAUGCAAGUCGAGGGGCAUCACGGGUAGCAAUACCUGGUGGCGACCGGCAGACGGGUGAGUAACGCGUAUGUAACCUACCCUGUACAGGGGGAUAACCCGGGGAAAUUCGGACUAAUAUCCCAUGGAAAUAUUGGAAGGCAUCUUUUGAUAUUUAAAGUUCCGGCGGUACGGGAUGGGCAUGCGUAACAUUAGCUAGUUGGUAAGGUAACGGCUUACCAGGGCUUUGAUGUUUAGGGGUCCUGAGAGGGUGGUCCCCCACACUGGUACUGAGACACGGACCAGACUCCUACGGGAGGCAGCAGUGAGGAAUAUUGGUCAAUGGGCGCAAGCCUGAACCAGCCAUCCCGCGUGCAGGAAGACGGCCCUAUGGGUUGUAAACUGCUUUUCCAGGGGGAGAAACUUGCGCACGUGUUGCGCAAUUGACGGUACCCUGGGAAUAAGCAUCGGCUAACUCCGUGCCAGCAGCCGCGGUAAUACGGAGGAUGCGAGCGUUAUCCGGAUUCAUUGGGUUUAAAGGGUGCGUAGGCGGACUAUUAAGUCAGUGGUGAAAUCCUGCAGCUUAACUGCAGAACUGCCAUUGAUACUGAUAGUCUUGAGUUUGGUUAAGGUAGGCGGAAUGUGUAAUGUAGCGGUGAAAUGCUUAGAUAUUACACAGAACACCAAUUGCGUAGGCAGCUUACUGAGCCGACACUGACGCUGAGGCACGAAAGCGUGGGGAUCGAACAGGAUUAGAUACCCUGGUAGUCCACGCCGUAAACGAUGAUUACUCGCUGUUGGCGAUACACUGUCAGCGGCUAAGCAAAAGCAAUAAGUAAUCCACCUGGGGAGUACGGCCGCAAGGUUGAAACUCAAAUGAAUUGACGG
Molecule: ribosomal RNA, 880 nt
Filed under: uncultured bacterium
Lineage: Bacteria
Description: bacterial SSU rRNA
Rfam family: Bacterial small subunit ribosomal RNA
Source: RNAcentral